Molecule: ribosomal RNA, 460 nt
Filed under: uncultured bacterium
Lineage: Bacteria
Description: partial 16S ribosomal RNA
Rfam family: Bacterial small subunit ribosomal RNA
Source: RNAcentral
CCUACGGGAGGCAGCAGUGAGGAAUAUUGGUCAAUGGCCGAGAGGCUGAACCAGCCAAGUCGCGUGAGGGAAGACGGCCCUACGGGUUGUAAACCUCUUUUGUCGGGGAGCAAAGCGAACCACGUGUGGUUCAUUGAGAGUACCCGAAGAAAAAGCAUCGGCUAACUCCGUGCCAGCAGCCGCGGUAAUACGGAGGAUGCGAGCGUUAUCCGGAUUUAUUGGGUUUAAAGGGAGCGUAGGUGGAUUGUUAAGUUAGUUGUGAAAGUUUGCGGCUCAACCGUAAAAUUGCAGUUGAAACUGGCAGUCUUGAGUACAGUAGAGGUGGGCGGAAUUCGUCGUGUAGCGGUGAAAUGCUUAGAUAUGACGAAGAACCCCGAUUGCGAAGGCAGCUUGCUGCAGCGGAACUGACGCUGAUGCUCGAAAGCGCGGGUAUCGAACAGGAUUAGAUACCCGAGUAGUC